This 1902-nucleotide long non-coding RNA is filed under the name Sus scrofa (pig). RNAcentral describes it as "lncRNA (ENSSSCG00065032209.1)". The record is from RNAcentral. Lineage: Eukaryota; Metazoa; Chordata; Mammalia; Artiodactyla; Suidae.
CUGAUGGCAUUUGGCCCCUCCUCUUCUUGCUGUGGCCACUGCCGGACCUCAGACCCUCAGCCUCUUUCUGGUCUGAUAACGUCAUCCUUCUCCCCUCCCCCUCCCCCACACUCCUAUCAUUCCUGCCAACCUGUGUUCAGUUGUACAAACGGAAUCAUUUGGGGGAGGAGGCUGGACCUAAUUUUAGAAUUUCGUUUGGCCCUGAAGAGCAGCUGUUUAGAAAUUCCAGCCACACUUUUAAAGUCACCUGGACCACCAGCUGUCAGCCACCUCUCGCUGGAUCCCAGCGGAAGACUGCGAUAAUAACACUGCACCUGCAAAGAGCCAGCCCGAGCCCCAGUUUAUCUGACCAUUGGCCGUGUGACUCGGGCACUUGACUCUCCCUGUGUCUUUGUCACCUCAUCUCUGUAGAGCUGUACCUUCCUCGUGGGAUUUCUGUAAGGAUUAAUGCAUAUCUGUUUAUCUGUCUACAUCUUAGGACAAUGUCUGGUCUGCGGUAAAGGCUCUUGAACUGCUUCCUCCUAUUCCUAUUGUCCUUUUUGUUUUUAGCCCUAACGUUUGUUCUUAUUCUAGCCUUGCUGCUGUCGUUAGUAUGCGUCCCCCUUUCCCUUGCUCCUUUUUCCAAGAAUUAUGUUAAAUUUCCUGUGCUGUCCCCCUCCCCCACCCCACCCAACUCUGGACGUUGUAUCCGAUUCCUCCUGGUUGUAUGGGGAUUGUUUGUAAACUUCUGCUGGUUGGUCCUCCGCCCGUCUAACUGCCCUGAGGGAGGUCUGACCUUGAAGUUGCUGUGCAAUCUAAAUUGUUAAGCUAUUUCAAGUGCCCGGACUCUUCCCCGCUAGAGCCCAAGGGAAUGGUCACGUCUCAGAAUUAAUGCAAGCACAACUCUGUCAAAUCCGCUUUACCCAUUAAGAACUAGAUAAAUGCCUCCUCUUUCGUGUCUCCUGAUCCUCUGUCCUUUUCGUUUCUUUUUUUUUUUUUUAUCAUUUUAUGUAAUGAUUUUUAUUUUUUCCAUUAUAGCUGAUUUACAGCAUCCUGUCAAUUUUCUCCUGUACGGCAUGGUGACCCCGUCACACAAGUACAUACAUGCCUUCUUUUUUCUCACGUGAUCAGGCUCCAUCGUAAGUGCCUAGACACAGUUCCCAGGGCUGCACAGCGGGAUCUCAUUGCUAAUCCACUCCUUUUGUUUCUUGAUUCAAUAGGUAAACUCAGGGGUCAUCCUUUAUCUGUGAGGCUGCUUAGACAGUGAAACACAAGCUUCAGAUCUGGUUGAUGCAUAUCCGUGGAAGACCUGAAUGUUUCAGGAUAAAAGAACAGAGAUGUCACAACUGUCUCUCUUCCUUUUGAUGUUUCAAAGGCAUGAUUGCGAAUCACAAUAAUUAGCUGACAUCUCCUGGGCUCUCUCUGUGCCAGGCAUGAUGAAAUCUUUUUAUAUAUUAUCUCCUUUGACCCUAAAAGGGGCUCUGGUGUAGGUGUGCCCACAGGGAAGUUGCUUGUCUCAUUGCAAACGGAAUUCAGAAACGAGCCGGAAAUUGAGAAAGUCAAGUGAGGAAUUGUUUAAGUGAGAGAGACAUCUCUUAAAGAGGGGAGAGGUGGGCAGCCGCCCUGAGUGGGGGGCAGCCAUUAUAAAGGGCAUCCAGGAGUUCCUGUUACGGCUCAGUGGUUAAUGAAUCUGACUAGGAACGAUGAGGUUGCGGGUUCAAUCCCUGGCCUCGCCCAGUGAGUUAAGGAUCUGGUGUUGCCAUGAGCUGGGGUAUAGGCCACAGAUGCGGCUGUGGCUGUGGUGCAGGCCGGCAGCAACAGCUCCGAUUAGACCCCAGCCCGGGAACUUCCAUAUGCUGCGGGUGCGGCCCUAGAAAAGACAAAAAGACAAAAAUUAAAAAAUAAAUAAAUAAAUAAAGGGCA